CACGCCUUCUUCCCAGUAGAAUAUGUGAGGGAGGAGGUGAGGCUGGACGAAGGCUGGGUAAUACUGAACCGGGGGGAACUCAAUUCUUGUUCCUGAAGGGAACACAUACGCGCGCGCAGGCACACAUACGCACGUCCCAUUCAAACACUGUUAGACUUUUAAACCGAAAUCCAAAAGGAGCCUGACUUGCCUCCUGUUGCAAUAAUCCCGUUGCAGUGUCAAAGGCCGAGAAGCAUUCUCUCGUUGCAUCAUUUUUAUGCUCAGUGAGAGGUCUAGCACCAGAGCUCUUAGAUUCCUCUGCUCUGCAAAAGUAUGAUCCCAGCCCCCAGGACUCUUCAUAUUCCCCUCUCGCGUGGACUGUGCCUUUUCAAGGUAACGGGUCUAGUUUACUUCUACAUCCUUUAACUCACCCCCAUCUGUUCCAGGGAACUGACAGCCACCAAGAGAAUGAGAGAGUCCUGGCUGGCUGAACAGAGGACUAUGGUAUUGCUCCGACCGUUUUGCUGUCUGGAUUUAGACUUUGCCACAUCGUGACGUUCUGGCGUUAGUAUCAUUUAGAAUGUCCCACGCUGUCAGAUUCACAUACAUGCACGCAACUCAGUGCUGUGCACGUACAGACUCUGAUCUGAAAACUUAAGUUAUUAGGUGGGAAAUCCCCCCUUCUUAGCUGUGGUGGAACUGCAGGAAUGGGUCGGCAAAGGCAGAGCAUACCAUACUUCGUUCUCUUCUAAAAGGAAUCCCUGGAGAGAUUUUCUACCCAGGACUUUUGUAAUUGAAUUCCCUAGUUUGGGGAUGCACCAGAGAAAAAUUGGUAAUUGAACAGUGCAUAUUCUGAUGAAGAAACUGAACCUCUAAAAAGAAAGCAAAGUGACCUGUUGGGAAUACAUUUUGGACAUGGCUAAUGUGGGGAUUUAUUCUGCCAGACUAUGCAAAUCCCAAAGUCCUAUAAGAUGCAAUAAUUUUCUAUUUCCUGGAAGGGCAUUGCUUUUGAUCAUUUUUUUUUUAAUACCGAGGGAUUUAUUUUUGGGAACACACCACAAUGGAAGGAAUGUAGGAUUAUUUUGAAGACCUAUUUUUGGCUCUGCUACUCAUCAUUACCUGGAUGACUUUUGGCAGGAACUCCUUGGCUCUAGGAUGAAGACUGGGUCUUGUUGAGCUGAUUAAUGACUUUAUAUCAGUACUUCCUAUCUUGGUUACUGACGCCAGUUUGGAGCAAAUCCAAGAUCCUGCCUGCAAUCUUUCAGUGGAUAUGCACUGUAAAUAUUUAAAAAAAGUAUGAGAAUAAUUUCCUCAGAUAAACUAAAAAUUUCUAAUAUUGUCAAAUAUUAUAGAACUUCAGAGUGUAAAUUUACUUUUAUGACAGGAAUUUUCUUUCAUUUGACUCUUCCAUUGGAUUUGGAUUUGGUCCAGUAUUGUCUGGCACAUUUGUCUGGCAUAUCUACUGCAAAGUGCUUUACAGUUAUGUUUAUUAGUUAUUCCUGACAGCCAUGAUGUGAACUUGGCUAAUAAUAUUCUCUCCAUUUUGCAGAUGAAGAUACUGAGGUAAAGUGUAAUUAAUCAAGUCAAAAUAAAUAUCCCGAUUCAUUUUUAACCCCAAAAGUAGAGGGUAAUGGUCUCCAGUAAAAAUAUCUAAUUGUCUGAUUCUUUCUACCACACACGGUUACUGGAGCCUCAAAGACUGUUAUUAAGAAAAAUAGCAUGUGUUCUGGGGGUAGAAUGGGGACAAUAGUGUAUCUUUACACACACUUUAGCUUUGAUCUGGUCUUGAAAACCAAAUAUAAAUACAGUUAGUUUUUGUAUGUUACUAGAAUAAAUAUUUUUAUUUUGAAUUUUGAAAAAAUAUUUUAUUUUCCCAAUUAUAUGUAAUAAUAAUUUCCAACAUAUGAUUUCUGAAAUUAUAAGAGCCAAAUUGUCUUCCUUCCUCCUUUUCCUCCCCCCUCCCAGAGAUGGUAUCUAAUUUGGUCUGGGUUAUAUAUGUAUCCUCAUGCAAAAUAUAUUUUCAUAUUUGUCGUUGUUGUGAGAAUUAAAUACUCAUAUAAAACAAUCCCCUCAACCCCUCCCCCCCCAAAAAAACCCUCACAAAUAAACUAAAGUGAAAAAUAGAAUGCUUUCAUCUGCAUUCUGACAACCAACAGUUUUUUUUUCCCUCUGGAAGUGGAUAGCAUUCUUUGUCCUAAGUCCUUCAGAAUUGUCCUGGAUCAUUGUAUUGCUGUGAGUAGCUAAGUCUUUCACAGUUGAUCAUGGUAUGAUAUUGCUGUUUCUGCGUACAAUAAUCUUCUGAUUGUCUACUUCAUUCUGCAUCUGUUCAUUUAGGUCUUUUCCCCAGCUUUUUGAGAAAUCAUUCUGCUCAUCAUUUCAUAUAACACAAAAGUGUUAUAUCUUAUCCAACAAUUUGUUCAGUCAUUUCUCAAUUUUUGGACAUCCCCCUCAAUUUAGAAUUCUUUGCCAUCACAAAAAGAGCUGCUAUAAAUAUUUUUGUACAAAUAUGUCUUUUCCCCUACUU
Long non-coding RNA from Monodelphis domestica (gray short-tailed opossum), 2503 nucleotides. RefSeq lists it as uncharacterized. The record is from RefSeq and is a predicted model, not a curated record. NCBI's taxonomy places the organism in Eukaryota, Metazoa, Chordata, Mammalia, Didelphimorphia, Didelphidae.